Molecule: ribosomal RNA, 96 nt
Filed under: uncultured archaeon
Lineage: Archaea
Description: partial 16S ribosomal RNA
Source: RNAcentral
CUCCCUCGUUACUGACCCCAGGUUCGAUAGUACCAAUUAGGCAUCACCUCGCCAAGAACCAACUUCGAUGAAGCGACGGGCGGUGUGUGCAAGGAG